UACGAAGGGUGCAAGCGUUACUCGGAAUUACUGGGCGUAAAGCGUACGUAGGUGGUGAGUUAAGUCUGAUGUGAAAUCCCCGGGCUCAACCUGGGAAUGGCAUUGGAUACUGGCUCGCUAGAGUGCGGUAGAGGGUGGUGGAAUUCCCGGUGUAGCAGUGAAAUGCGUAGAGAAUCGGGAGGAACAUCUGUGGCGAAGGCGGCCACCUGGACCAACACUGACACUGAGGCACGAAAGCGUGGGAGCAAACAGG
Molecule: ribosomal RNA, 253 nt
Filed under: uncultured bacterium
Lineage: Bacteria
Description: partial 16S ribosomal RNA
Rfam family: Bacterial small subunit ribosomal RNA
Source: RNAcentral